RNAcentral lists this ribosomal RNA (253 nucleotides) under uncultured bacterium. RNAcentral's name for it is "partial 16S ribosomal RNA". It matches the Rfam family "Bacterial small subunit ribosomal RNA", at positions 524 to 776 of the family's 1533-position model. The record is from RNAcentral.
UACGUAGGGGGCAAGCGUUGUCCGGAAUCAUUGGGCGUAAAGCGCGCGUAGGCGGCCCGGUACGUCCGCUCUGAAAGUCCAGGGCUCAACCCUGGAAAGCGGGUGGAUACUGCCGGGCUAGAAUCCGGAAGAGGCGAGUGGAAUUCCUGGUGUAGCGGUGGAAUGCGCAGAUAUCAGGAGGAACACCGAUUGCGAAGGCAGCUCGCUGGGACGUAACUGACGCUGAGACGCGAAAGCGUGGGGAGCAAACAGG